Oxyura jamaicensis (ruddy duck) is the source of this 2922-nucleotide long non-coding RNA. RefSeq lists it as uncharacterized. The record is from RefSeq and is a predicted model, not a curated record. The transcript is spliced from 2 exons. NCBI's taxonomy places the organism in Eukaryota, Metazoa, Chordata, Aves, Anseriformes, Anatidae.
UGCUGGUGUACCGCAGCCCAGCAGCUGGGAGCAGCCCCCUGUGCCCCAGGGAUGCCGCCGGGAUCCCCGGGUUGCUCCUCCCGGAGUCGGGGCCAGGAGCCGCAGCCAUCGGCAGGUGGCAGUGCAGCCCCAGCACCGGGUUAGCGGAAGGGCAGACGGCUCCCGAUGCGAGUGUGGGUUUUUUUAUUGGUUGGGGUUUUGUUUGUUGAGUCCCGAAGAGCUUGUUUGAUGCAGAGGAAAAUAGAGUCGGUUCCCACAGAAGCUGUCACAGCCAGGACUAGUGCUGCUGGGCUUUUCCAUGUUACAUCUUCUGUAGGCACUGAAUUUUGGCUCUUUCAUCAAAUUUAUUCAUUGCAGAGAAGAGUGAAAUGAGAUGUUGUCAAGCCGUUGUAUGUACAAACACGUGGUCUAUGUUUGAAAAAGACUGCUUUUCAUGUGUACUUAGGGUCACCUGUCGUAACUAAACCCAGGCACAAUGCUUGGGCAUUGCUCAGUUGAGCAUCUCUGCAAGUGCCCGUGCUGUUCUGCAAGAUUAGCUUUGCAAGUCUACCCCAAAUUCAAAUUUAUUUGCGUGCAUAAUAUUGUUUACAUACGGAAGACUAAAGUCUGUGAUAUAAACUAUGCUACUGAGACUUAGAGUGAGGCAACUGGUGUUUCUCUAUAGCAAUAAGCACCAACUGUUAAGCCCUGGAUCUUGCUUCACGGGCCUAGGAUUCUGCUGCUGCAAAGCAACAUCAAUAUUCCGCUUGGUUUGGGGAUGAUGGACUGUAAAUCACCAGUGCUAUUGUUUUUAGCCUCGCCUUUAAAAGAGUCUGUGUUUUACCGUCUCAAGUUUUAUGGCACUUAACUGCUCUGAUAAAGCACGUCCCAGAGCCUGAUAAAACGAGCUUUUGGUGGGUAAUUCAGGCACCUGGAGUUUCUCUGGCACAUUUUAACCCCCCCCAGUUAUCCCUGAUGCAGCAGUCCCUGUCUGUCUGGAAUCAGUAACUGGUUAUAUGGAGUACCUGUAGUCUUCAGCCCUAGCAAAAUCAGUCUCAGUAAGAGCCAGGCAGAAUCUCAAAGUAUUCUUUCUUACUGAAAGGGAUCAAGAGAACAUAAAGGUGUUUAUGUCUUUCUUCAUCUUUUUUUGUUAAUUCAGGUGGUUUGUAGCUAGGCCACUUAAGUUGAGGGCUAGAAGAAUGUGGCCUUGAAUCCUCUCAGCUAGAAGAGAGAAUUAAAACUAGGUCCACAACAUUCAGGCUGAAUGUUAAACCACUGAACAAUUAAAUAAGGGAGGGUGGAACCAUCACAAGCUGUGUUUCUUAUUGUGCUUUUUUUUUUUUUUUUUGUUUUUUUUUUUUGCAAUGAAGGAGUUUAGGCAAUGAUCCCAGCAGAAGGGAAGGGAUUACAGAGAUCAAUUCUACCUGAAGACAGACUUUUUCCUGCUCUCCAAGGUGAAGUUCCCAAAAGGACUGUUUGUGAGAAGCAGAGCCUCACCAGGGAACCGGCUCACACAUCCUGUAUCUGGCCUAACACCCCCACACACUCCCCAUGAAUGUAACAGCUCCUAAAGGUUGUCACUGACCUUACUCUGCCUUAGUUGGGCACUCUAAGCUGCUGUGCCUCAGCUCCUGACUAUCCUUGAGCAACUCAGCUGCCUGUGGACCAGGGGCAGUAAUUUUGUAAGCUGUCCAUAGCUGUGCUGUCCCUGCUUGUGAAUUAUAGCCUUAACUCCUCUAGAAAGAGCCAUAGUGGCUCUUUGCCUUCCCUUCAGUAUUUCUUGAUGAGACUCAGCAGAUCCUUACUCAGUAUGCUUGUUUUAUUAGGUACUAAUUUUAGUGCCGAACUCCCCUAGACAGGGAGGGAGAAGCAUCUGUCAGGCUGGCAGGCAAAGUCCAAGUGAUGUCAGGCAUUCUUCCCUGUCAUCCAGCUACCAAGCAGCGGGUAUUUAGUACGACAACAUCCAGAUGUCACAUAGAAUCAUGACUGGCCUAAAAAGCACGAGAGUCCUAAGAGAAUUCACAUCAUCAGGGUGAUUGAAUCUAAAUACUAGGCACUUGGGAUGACCUUUGCGGACUAUCUCCUACGGGUAGGCAUGGUUCGGAGUGCUAUUCAAAUCACCUCAGCUGACUGCUGACUCAUCUCUGGUUCCACUCUCUGCAUCCCAUUGCUUGAGCAUAAGAAUUGGUUUAGUAGCACUCAUUAGCUGUGAAAGGCAAACCUAACUAUAAUUUCUAUAUAAUCCUCGUGAGAUCAGAAGUGUCACAUAAAACGAGUAUGUAAAACUGUAUUAAAAAGGGAAAAAAAAAAAAAAAAGUAUUCACACAACUUUAACAGGGAUGCAUACCAGUCCCAGCAGGCUUCUUUCAAUGAGUAGAUGAGAGCUGCAAAUUAAAGAUACUUGCAGCUGGGAACUUCCUUUUCAAAUAACUGCAGGUCACUGUGACAUUUGAAAUGGUUGCAAAAAGCUACAAAGAGCCCACAGUCAUUGCAUGUUCUCCCCCAACACACACACACACAAUAGUUCCUUGAGCAAUCGGCACAGCUUUAUGCCCCACAGCCAUAGCAAGUUUCAGAGCUCUGGGACUGGAGUCAGGUGAAAGGGGAGUUGACAAGUUUCAUGUUAGCAAAAUAAACUUGUGAACCUCGUGAUACAUUUUUGGAAGAGAAUUACGUAGAACAGAGCUACUUGUAGUUAGUGCUUGCCUGUUUCUUUUACUGAUUUAAUGGAUAAGGUAUUUUCUAUUUAUUAGAACUUGAGCCAUAUGCUGUGCAAAACAAUUUGUAAGAUUAACUGUUAUUACUAUUCUGUAGGCAAAAAGGGGAACUUGGUCUGAAUCUAAACCCUUGUACUUUGCCUGUUGCCCUCCUGUGCUAAUUACAAGAAAAAUAAAAAGGUAGUGAUGCUGUCUUCAAUUGUCAGAAGACAGCAUUUCUUUUGGA